RNAcentral lists this transfer RNA (73 nucleotides) under Treponema sp. Its description in RNAcentral is "tRNA-Glu". It matches the Rfam family "tRNA". From Rfam's summary of the family: Transfer RNA (tRNA) molecules are approximately 80 nucleotides in length. The record is from RNAcentral. Lineage: Bacteria; Pseudomonadati; Spirochaetota; Spirochaetia; Treponematales; Treponemataceae. RNAcentral also lists the same sequence under 1 other name.
GGUCGAUUAGUGCAAAGGUUAGCACAGUAGAUUUUCAUUCUACUAAUGUUGAGUUCGAGUCUCACAUCGACUU